AGGUCAUCCUGCAGCUUCAG
Molecule: small nuclear RNA, 20 nt
Filed under: Arabidopsis thaliana (thale cress)
Lineage: Eukaryota; Viridiplantae; Streptophyta; Magnoliopsida; Brassicales; Brassicaceae
Description: snRNA_09998
Source: RNAcentral